GUGGGGAAUAUUGGACAAUGGGCGCAAGCCUGAUCCAGCCAUACCGCGUGGGUGAAGAAGGCCUUCGGGUUGUAAACUGCUUUUGUACGGAACGAAACGGUCCUGGUUAAUACCUGGGGCUAAUGACGGUACCGUAAGAAUAAGCACCGGCUAACUACGUGCCAGCAGCCGCGGUAAUACGUAGGGUGCAAGCGUUAAUCGGAAUUACUGGGCGUAAAGCGUGCGCAGGCGGUUUUGUAAGACAGACGUGAAAUCCCCGGGCUCAACCUGGGAAUGGCGUUUGUGACUGCAAAGCUGGAGUGCGGAAGAGGGGGAUGGAAUUCCGCGUGUAGCAGUGAAAUGCGUAGAUAUGCGGAGGAACACCGAUGGCGAAGGCAAUCCCCUGGGCCUGCACUGACGCUCAUGCACGAAAGCGUGGGGAGCAAACAGGAUUAGAUACCCGAGUAGUCC
Molecule: ribosomal RNA, 450 nt
Filed under: uncultured bacterium
Lineage: Bacteria
Description: partial 16S ribosomal RNA
Rfam family: Bacterial small subunit ribosomal RNA
Source: RNAcentral